Schistosoma rodhaini is the source of this 45-nucleotide non-coding RNA. The record is from Rfam. NCBI's taxonomy places the organism in Eukaryota, Metazoa, Platyhelminthes, Trematoda, Strigeidida, Schistosomatidae.
AUUCAGCUGACAGGUCCCAAAUAGGACGAAACUUGGGUUCUGGAU